GGGGGUGACCGGUUUUGACAGCAGGCAGAGUUUGAUUGUAAGCACGCCGAGUCUUGUGUGGGGUCUCGUAAAUCAGAAUGCUCAAAUUUCAAAUGGCGAUAAUAGCUAUGCACUUGCUGCUUAAUUUUACCAAGUAAAAUCUAGCUUAAUCCUUGGACCCUAGGUGGUCUGAAGACGAGUAUCCUUCUUAAUUCACCCGCUCUUUGUGAGUUAAGAGUUUAGGAUAUCAAAAAUGAAGAGAUAGUUUCAUAGCCUGUUCGGACUAUGUUGCGAAAUAAACGAACUGGGAUUUGUAUUAGGUCGCCGUCAGCCAGAUAUGAAUAGAAGGAUUAAUUGAUUGGCUAAGCGUGUAGAAAGCUUUUGUGCUCCUUGUUUGGACGAGGGUUCGACUCCCUCCAUCUCCAC
RNAcentral lists this transfer-messenger RNA (405 nucleotides) under fish gut metagenome. It matches the Rfam family "transfer-messenger RNA". Rfam says of the family: Bacterial tmRNA, also known as 10Sa RNA or SsrA, is named for its dual tRNA and mRNA-like properties. Its role is to liberate the mRNA from a stalled ribosome. To accomplish this part of the tmRNA is used as a reading frame that ends in a translation stop signal. The record is from RNAcentral.